AUUGAACGCUGGCGGCAGGCCUAACACAUGCAAGUCGAGCGGAGCGGCGGACGGGUGAGUAAUGCCUAGGAAUCUGCCUGGUAGUGGGGGAUAACGUCCGGAAACGUGCGCUAAUACCGCAUACUAUCAGAUGAGCCUAGGUCGGAUUAGCUAGUUGGUGGGGUAAAGGCUUACCAAGGCGACGAUCCGUAACUGGUCUGAGAGGAUGAUCAGUCACACGGGAACUGAGACACGGUCCAGACGCCUACGGGAGGCAGCAGUGGGGAAGAUUGGACAAUGGGCGAAAGCCUGAUCCAGCCAUGCCGCGUGUGUGAAGAAGGUCUUCGGAUUGUAAAGUACUUUCAGCAGGGAGGCGUUACCCGCAGAAGAAGCAACGGCUAACUCCGUGCCAGCAGCCGCGGUAAUUC
Molecule: ribosomal RNA, 407 nt
Filed under: uncultured bacterium
Lineage: Bacteria
Description: partial 16S ribosomal RNA
Rfam family: Bacterial small subunit ribosomal RNA
Source: RNAcentral